RNAcentral lists this ribosomal RNA (449 nucleotides) under uncultured bacterium. RNAcentral describes it as "partial 16S ribosomal RNA". It matches the Rfam family "Bacterial small subunit ribosomal RNA", at positions 29 to 523 of the family's 1533-position model. The record is from RNAcentral.
AACGAACGCUGGCGGCAGGCUUAACACAUGCAAGUCGAACGCUGUAGCAAUACAGAGUGGCGCACGGGUGAGUAACGCGCGGGAACGUGCCCUUUGGUACGCAAUAACGUCGGCAAACUGACGCUAAUACCGGAUACGGCCUCCGGGGGAAAGCGUUAUCGCCCAAGGAUCGGCCCGCGUCAGAUCAGCUAGUUGGUGGGGUAAUGGCAUACCAAGGCUCCGAUCGGUAGCUGGUCUGAGAGGAUGAUCAGCCACAGUGGAACGGAGACACGGUCCAGACUCCGACGGGAGGCAGCAGUGGGGAAUAUUGGACAAUGGGGGAAACCCUGAUCCAGCCAUGCCGCGUGAAUGAUGAAGGCCUUAGGGUUGUAAAGUUCUUUUGCAGGGGACGAUGAUGACGGUACCCUGAGAAUAAGCUCCGGCUAACUUCGUGCCAGCCGCCGCAGUAA